Xyrauchen texanus (razorback sucker) is the source of this 224-nucleotide long non-coding RNA. RefSeq lists it as uncharacterized. The record is from RefSeq and is a predicted model, not a curated record. The transcript is spliced from 3 exons. NCBI's taxonomy places the organism in Eukaryota, Metazoa, Chordata, Actinopteri, Cypriniformes, Catostomidae.
GUUUUCCGCCAUCUUGUUACACCGCAUGGAUGAACUCGACGUGGGAAAACGGGAAUCAAGAAAAUUGCUGCGAAUAAAGUUUCAAACAAAGCUCACAGCAGAACCAUAGCACAUCUCAUGGGACUGCCAUAAAGUUGUCUUGACGACUUAGAUUCGAAGCAGCUACAUGAUAUUGACAACAAAGGUUGUGAACUACAACAUUUUUUACAAUCGAUCAAAAUGGG